AUCAACUUUCGAUGGUAGGAUAGAGGCCUACCAUGGUGGUAACGGGUAACGGGGUGUUAGGGCACGACACCGGAGAGGGAGCCUGAGAAACGGCUACCACAUCCAAGGAUGGCAGCAGGCGCGCAAAUUACCCAAUCCCGACACGGGGAGGUAGUGACAAUAAAUAACAAUACGGGGUUCUUUCGGAUCUCGUAAUUGGAAUGAGUACAAUUUAAAUCUCUUAACGAGGAACAAUUGGAGGGCAAGUCUGGUGCCAGCAGCCGCGGUAAUUCCAGCUCCAAUAGCGUAUAUUAAAGUUGUUGCAGUUAAAAAGCUCGUAGUUGAAUUUCGGGGUUAGUAGGUUGGUCAUGCCUCUGGUAUGUACUGGUCUCACUGAUUCCUCCUUCCUGGUGAACCGUAAUGCCAUUAAUUUGGUGUUGCGGGGAAUUUGGACUGUUACUUUGAAAAAAUUAGAGUGUUUAAAGCAAGCUAACGCUUGAAUACAUUAGCAUGGAAUAAUGAAAUAGGGCGUUCGAUCCUAUUUUGUUGGUUUCUAGGAUUGACGUAAUGAUUAAUAGGGAUAGUUGGGGGCAUUAGUAUUCAAUUGUCAGAGGUGAAAUUCUUGGAUUUAUUGAAGACUAACUACUGCGAAAGCAUUUGCCAAGGAUGUUUUCAUUAAUCAAGAACGAAAGUUAGGGGAUCGAAGACGAUCAGAUACCGUCGUAGUCUUAACCAUAAACUAUGCCGACUAGGGAUCGGAUGAUGUUAAUUUUUUAAUGACUCAUUCGGCGCCUUACGGGAAACCAAAGUGUUUGGGUUC
Molecule: ribosomal RNA, 799 nt
Filed under: uncultured Glomus
Lineage: Eukaryota; Fungi; Glomeromycota; Glomeromycetes; Glomerales; Glomeraceae
Description: SSU rRNA
Rfam family: Eukaryotic small subunit ribosomal RNA
Source: RNAcentral